GGGGGUCGGCUUCGGCUCGGCCCCGGAACGGGAAGAAUAGGGAAGCCGGUGAGAAUCCGGCGCGGGGCCGCCGCUGUAAUCGGCCGGAAGCGCGAGCCGCAGGGCCACUGCCGCAAGGUGGGAAGGCCGCUCGACGCCAGGCCGAGAGCCAGAAGACCUGCCCGUCAGGCUCCUCAUUG
Molecule: non-coding RNA, 179 nt
Filed under: Planctomyces sp.
Lineage: Bacteria; Pseudomonadati; Planctomycetota; Planctomycetia; Planctomycetales; Planctomycetaceae
Source: RNAcentral